GCCCCGCUGGCUCAGUGGUGGAGAAUGUGACUCUUGAUCUCAGGGUCGCGAGUUCAAGCCCCACGUUGGGCA
RNAcentral lists this transfer RNA (72 nucleotides) under Ailuropoda melanoleuca (giant panda). It matches the Rfam family "tRNA". Rfam says of the family: Transfer RNA (tRNA) molecules are approximately 80 nucleotides in length. Their secondary structure includes four short double-helical elements and three loops (D, anti-codon, and T loops). Further hydrogen bonds mediate the characteristic L-shaped molecular structure. tRNAs have two regions of fundamental functional importance: the anti-codon, which is responsible for specific mRNA codon recognition, and the 3' end, to which the tRNAs corresponding amino acid is attached (by aminoacyl-tRNA synthetases). tRNAs cope with the degeneracy of the genetic code in two manners: having more than one tRNA (with a specific anti-codon) for a particular amino acid; and 'wobble' base-pairing, i.e. permitting non-standard base-pairing at the 3rd anti-codon position. Lineage: Eukaryota; Metazoa; Chordata; Mammalia; Carnivora; Ursidae. The record is from Rfam by way of RNAcentral.